GACGAACGCUGGCGGCGUGCUUAACACAUGCAAGUCGAACGGAAAGGCCCUGCUUUUGUGGGGUGCUCGAGUGGCGAACGGGUGAGUAACACGUGAGUAACCUGCCCUUGACUUUGGGAUAACUUCAGGAAACUGGGGCUAAUACCGGAUAGGAGCUCCUGCUGCAUGGGGGGGGUUGGAAAGUUUCGGCGGUUGGGGAUGGACUCGCGGCUUAUCAGCUUGUUGGUGGGGUAGUGGCUUACCAAGGCUUUGACGGGUAGCCGGCCUGAGAGGGUGACCGGCCACAUUGGGACUGAGAGACGGACCAGACGCCUACGGGAGGCAGCAGUGGGGAAUAUUGCACAAUGGGCGGAAGCCUGAUGCAGCAACGCCGCGUGCGGGAUGACGGCCUUCGGGUUGUAAACCGCUUUCGCCUGUGACGAAGCGUGAGUGACGGUAAUGGGUAAAGAAGCACCGGCUAACUACGUG
This 468-nucleotide ribosomal RNA is filed under the name uncultured bacterium. RNAcentral describes it as "partial 16S ribosomal RNA". It matches the Rfam family "Bacterial small subunit ribosomal RNA", at positions 28 to 507 of the family's 1533-position model. The record is from RNAcentral.